GGCCUACACAGGGUCAGGAUCAUCAAUGUCACUGUCUUCUACCCCCACAUCUUGUCCCACUGGAAGGUCUGAGGGGCAAUAAUAUGCAUUGUGCUGUCAUCCCCUGUCAUAGCAAUGCUUUCUUCUGGAAUACCUCCUGAAGGACCUGCCUGAAGCUCUUCUCCAGGAGGUGCCACUCUUUUCAGAAAUGUGUCCAUGGUAAUUUACCUGGUGGGUCUCAACCAAGAACCUAGAAGAGUAGAGGGACUUCCUCCCCCAGGAUCAGCCAAUUCCUAGAGAUAGGAAAACACUGGCCAGCAAGUGCAACUCUCCUAUACAAAGUAAUCAAUCAAGAGCUCACACUCCAGCCAUCUCUUUUUUUGGUUCUUGCACUGUGGGCCACUAUUCCCCUGCCUUAAUCACACCAGAGCCAGGAACCAAACAACUAAGGACAGCCCCUCUACCCCAGAGCCCACUGAAAUUAUUCAAACCGGCCAAUUCUAAACCUGCUUUCCCUGUCUUGCCCAUUACUUCCUGUGGAAACCACAAUAAAGGAUCUUGCC
This 542-nucleotide long non-coding RNA is filed under the name Equus caballus (horse). RNAcentral's name for it is "lncRNA (ENSECAG00000057772.1)". Lineage: Eukaryota; Metazoa; Chordata; Mammalia; Perissodactyla; Equidae. The record is from RNAcentral.